Molecule: long non-coding RNA, 11873 nt
Organism: Alligator mississippiensis (American alligator)
Lineage: Eukaryota; Metazoa; Chordata; Crocodylia; Alligatoridae
Exons: 7
Source: RefSeq, a predicted model, not a curated record
GGGUAGUGAUAGUUUUAUCCUUCAGGGAUUCCCUCCCCCCCCCCCUUUCUGUAUUUAGGAGGGAAAAGGCGGGGGGGGGCAGUAAAAUGCUGUCUCUGGGACAGGUGCCAGCUCCAAGACAAAAGAAGUAGAAUAGCAACAAAAAAAAAGGGGGGGGGAUUGGAAAUUAAUAGCCAGCAAAAAUAGGAAUUGAAAAUCUCUAAGAGGCUUUGGUAAAAUGUUAUCAGCUAACCAACCUUUCUGUUUCAUUUUAUCUUUAGCUGGUAGCUGAAAGGAGAAAGUUUAGGGAUACUUUUUUUUAUUAUUAUUAUUCUUUGCAAGCAUUUCAAAAGGGUAAGGGGGGGGUCUCUUUUUUUUCCUUGCAGGGUUUGUUUUUUUUGGUGGGGGGGGGGAUGCUGAAAUACUCAUAGUGGCAGUGGUGAAGCUAGGACCAUUAGCAUGCAUCAGACAUGCUGUUUGUCUGUUUGCUAACAUUCUUCAUUCAAGACUAGUUAACUACCAGACAAGCUUAACACGCUUCUGUCUUUCCCCUCCCCUUCUUUCUCUCUUUUCCUCUGUCUGUCCUCCUCUCUUUCCUUCUCUUUCAUGCCACCCCUCGUAGCCUCCUAUUGUUGUUACCGGGAGCUGGCAGGCCAGGGUGGUUGUGGCAGGGGAAGCAUGUGGAGGAGAAGCUGGAGCCCGUUGCUAGGAGGCUGCAGCGCUGCAAGGUGAACACCUUGGCGUCCUCACUCUGUGACUGGUCCCAGAGGCUUGUUUCCCAGGAAUAUAAGUCUAAACUUCAGGACACAAUCUUCCUAAAAAGAGCGUGAAAUUUACGGCAGCAGGAUUAUGCCACUCGAAGCCAAAUUCUAAACCCUCCUCUUUUGAUUCUACCUCCAACUCACAAGAUCAAACCUAAGCUAAAGGAAAGUUUUUCAUUGGCAUCAUCUGCCGAGGUUUCAGAGAGAAACUCUUCUGAGGUGUUAAGGGCAAGACCUCAGAGUUAGCUGCAGACUCUUUAAUGCUCAAUUUAUUGGAAAGUAUCCUCAUGUGAGCUCCUUUGAGGUCUUCGGCAGUAUAGCAGGCUUGUACUGCCCCUCUGCACAGAGUACUGCCUGAGAUUGCAUGCAGAAAAAGAUGUACCAGUUGCCUGGCAAGAUGAACUCAAGAAACACAAAGAAAAGUCUUCUGAGAGAAUACAAAGAAGUUUUCAGCAAGUGUGACAUACUGGAAAUCUCUGUUCAUCCAUCUAUGGGAGACUUGCUAAAGAAGUCAAAAAAGAAAAGAUGAUCUGAUGACCUGUGCAGAGAAAAUGCUAAGGGGGAAGUGGAGAAGAUAAAAAAGUUUGGUGGAUUUGCUAUGGCUGACAUCACAUUCCAGACCUAAGAGUUGUCCAGUUAAGUUGACACAAAGUUUGGUGCUACUCGUUGCUGCUCAGUGGACAUGUCUACACGUGUAUUUACGCAUGCCUAAACUUAAUGUGCCUUUGCUUAAGGCACAUUAAGGCAAUUUAGGUGCACAUGUACAUAAGGAUGCACUAAUGUGCAUUAAGGCACAUUAAAUUUAGGCACGGAUAACUAAGUUGCCUUAGCGUACAUGCAGAUGCACUAAUGCGUACUAACGUGGUGUGUGUCCAUUGACAUAUACCACGUUAAUGUGCAUUAGUGCAUCUGCUAAUGCAGCUUAGCUAGUCACACCUAAAUUGGAUACCUGCUUUAUGCAGGUAUCUAAUUUAGGCUCACAUAGCCUUAAAUUGCCAUUUUUAAGGCACAUUAAGGGUGCACACAUGUAGACACACAUCCUUAAUGUGCCUUAAAAAUGGCGAUUUUAGGCUAAGCCAGCUUAAAAGAGGCAUGUGUAGAUAUGCCUAGCUUUCCAUUGUUUUUAAGAUGGUCCAGAGCAGAAAAGGUAAGGCAGGAUGGGAUACUGUUAUUGAAGAGAAAAAGAGUUUUGUUUAAUGACUAGGGUCUCCUGAAUUCUCUUCCCAGGCCUGAAACUUCCUUGCUAUGUAGCCAUGAGCACUUAGAGGAUAUCUUUGAAAUGUACAUGUUUCUUUGGUUGCCUCAAUGUUCAGGUGCGGUGCCAGGCUUGUUGCUAAAAGCUUGAUUUUCAAAGAUGCUGAGCACCUACAUCUCCUAAUGACUAUAUCUGGACUUGUGAGUACUCUGCUCCCCUGAAAAUCAGGUCUUAAGCCUUUUUGCUUGGGCACCCAAAAUUACUAGACAUUUUUGGAAAAUAAUGUUUUAAGUUUUCUGUCCCUCUGUUGCCUCAACUACAGAAGGGGCAGAGGGGGGAAGGCUCAUGAGUCUUAUUCAUCUUCAUUCACUGGGGCACUGAGAUAAAUUAGCAAUGUUUGGGAAGCAGUUGUUAGAAGAAAGAUGUAGAAAGAUCAGACAUCUCCCUAUUAUUCAUUAUAAUAAUGAGAAGGUAACAACUUCUGACAAAAGAAAACACAGUUGAUUCAUUUUCUUCACCUUUUUAGCAGCAAGGAGCGAAAUGCAUUCCUAAUUGGCACAGUUCAACCAACCUUAAUUUCCUCCUACUGUUACACUUGCCUCCCAGAGCAUCCAGUCUUCUCUCCUUUGCUUGCCACAUAUGAAGUAUGCCUUUAGAAUAUUAUGUUUUAAAUAAAAAUCUUCUUGUUUCUUUUUCAUACGUUUGUUAUUUCCCCACAGAUUUUUCCUCUCUUUCGAAUUUUGGCCCUGUCCCGAUUUCUGAGCGCUGCCAUCUGGUAGUCAUUAUUUUCUACCACUGUGUUCUCAGACAUGCAGCAGAGUGUGAGCUCACUGUGCUCCUGCUGCUGCUAUCAGCCGUGCAUGUCACGCUUGGCAGCCAUGUUAGAUUUGGGCAGAAAGCCCAUCAGGACUAAUACAACAAAUCAACUGAUUAGCAAGUAGACCUAAAGAUUAUGCUAGAAAAAACAUUGAAGAUAAAUAUUUAAAUCUUGCAAAGCAAAUAGCUCAUAAUAAAAAUAAACAGUUCAACUUUUAUUUAUAAAAUAUAUAUUUUUUAAAUCUUAUAUUGCUAUUUACUGAAUAAUAGAACCGUUACACACAUAGGAACCAUAAUUCAAUCCUUAUUAUUUUGUGGCUCUGGACAGUUCUAUGAGAAUUUUACUUAUUAAAUUAAAUAGUGUUAGCUGUUGUUGGUUUAUGGCACCUGGAAUAUUAGGUAAGUGUAACAUAAAUUGAAAAAAAUACAAUAAGACAUAACAUUAAAAUUAGUGGAACUACUUCAGUUUAUACCAACUAAGGAUCUGCCAGAAUAUGAGAGGAAAAUAGUGUUAUUUUAAAAUAUGAUUGUAUUUGACUCAGUUUUUUAAGCACUUAUCUAAUAAUAGCCAUUGUACAGCAACCUAAUGAAUGGCAUUUAAUUAAAAAGCACUUGCACAUUUAAAAAAGGGGUAGAAUUGCUUGUUGAGGGCACAGAAACUGUGUUAAUGUAGACCACCUUAAGAUGUGGCCCAUUGCCUUUGAAAUGUUGAACUACCCUAAAAUGUUUUUUAGGUUUUUUUAAAGAAACUUGUUAACAAAGUCCCAUUUUUAGGUAGCAUUGGGCACAUCUACACAAGACAUUUACUGUGGAGUUAACUAAUUAGCUCUUCAGUAAACUUCUUGGCAUCUACAUGUGCAGGGCAAUUAGGAUGGAGUACACUAAUUAAAUACAAAUAAAUAUAAGUACUAUCCUGCUGCAGAGUUUUUUACUCUUCAGCAGCACAUGUGUAGAUGCUGACAGGGCUGGCUGGAGCGCAAGUGUACUUCAGUGUGAGGGCUGCCUGCCAGCUAGCCCCUCACUGAAAAGCCUUCGUACCCUAGUCAGCCCCUCCGCAGUACAUUGAGCUAUGGGGGGAGCAGCCCUGGGGUGGCAGGUUGACCCCCUGGACCUCCUGCCCAGUGGGGCUGCUCUGACCCAGUUCAAUAUGCUGGGUGCAUGUUCAAAUGGCAUGCCCAGGCCUGGGUGCACAUUCAAAUGGCACGCGUCACAUUAAUUGCACAUGUAGACAUAUCCAUUAUGGUUCAUUUCUGAGAGAAUUACAGAUUGGGGCCUGCUCCUACCAAGAUGUGCACUGACUUCCUGCAUGACUCCUUGUGGGACUUAGGAACCUAUGGUGUAUGCUAGUGUAACAUGUAGUCUUUCAAGAUCAAGAAUGUCUCUGCUCUAAUAUAUGUUUAUAUGAUUACAGCUUUCAUAGUUACUUAGGCAGCCACAGCACUGAGUUUAACUUGUGUAUGUAUUUUCCAGGCCAUUUUCUAACUGCUGUCCUUUUCCAAGUAUUUUCCACUGAUUUGGUAACUGGAAUGGUUUCAGCAUCUUAAAGUGUGUAUACAUAAAAUCCAUUAAACAGCACUGUGCUGCAGCACACAUAGUAUCCAAUAUCACUGUAAAAGUAAAUAAACCCGGUAUAGUUGAUAUGGGAGAAACAUGUAAUGACUCACUCACCUUUCAGAAAGGGUAUACAUGUACACAUGCUGUUUGAGCCAAAUUCACCUCUGGCAUCAUUCCAGUUCUGUUCGAACCAGGGUAAUUUUGGCUCUCCAAACUUAUUUUUUUUUAAAUCCUAAAAUAAUCAACUAAUUAUUAAUGGACUUCCUACCCCAUAUGGGCAGGUGGGCCACCGCAAAACACUGUUCUGCUAAAGGUGUUGAUUUAUGACAUAAUCCAAAAUUCACUGUUGCCAAUGAAUUUCCUUUCAUUAAUUUGAGUGUCUUUGGAUCAUGUCCUUUAAACCCCUAAAUGCAGCAUAGCACUUUAAAAUUCAAAACUAAAGUUUUUUUUUAUUUUAUUGAGUCCUGAGCCCCAUAUCUGAAGCCACUGAUGUAAAUUGAAAAUGUCCUGUUGACUUCAGUGGUCUUUGAAUCUAAGUGCUGGGAUAUUUUUCUUCUUCAAGAAAAAUUCCACUGACUUCUGAGGGAAUUAUUCUGAGAAAGAACAGUAAAUAGGACUCUUAGCUGGCAGAUUUGUGUCAUUGUGAUUUCUAGCUCCAAAUAAUUUCAUGUAUACUUUCAGGUGAGAUACAAACUAACACCCAAACCAGAUGUAGUCAUGGAAAAUCCUAUAGCAUUUCCAAAAGAGGAUGGAUGUUAAACUUGGUGUCCUGGUCAUACACUUACUACGGUAAAGAAAUUGUGCCUACUUUAGUCCUCCCUGCAGUUUCAAAUGACUAAUAUUUUUCCAGUGCCAGCCUUAAAUUGUUAUGUGGUGCUUGAUAUAUUGUGCAACAACUGCAAUUUGCCACUCCAGAAGUAACUGUAUUGCAGCAGUGAAUGAGUAAUUGCUAUGCAUCCUUCAUCUGCUUCACAGGUGUGUCGCAAAGCGUAAAUUACUUUUUGCUCCUCAAAGGAUAGGAAUGAUACAAAUGCAAUGUGUUAUUUUUAUUAGACUCAUUUGAAAAAUAUUUUGAGGAAAAUGAGGAAAUUUGGUGUGGGUGACAUUUGCCAGAGAUCUGGCCUGGGAAACUGAAUCCCUCUCUCCAUUGAACCAAUUCACACAUGGAAGUUUUGGAAAAGACCUCGUUGUGCUGUUUGGCUCUACCCCUGCCUUGAAAGCAGUCAUGUAGGGUAAAGUGGUAGGUUAGUCUCUCAUGCUGACCUGAUCCAGUUCUGUUUCUCCUAUUGACUGCAACCAGCUUUCAAUCUGAUCCUCGGUCCUUUUAUCUCUCAACUAUAAUUCUCAUCAAAGGGUACUAGUUGGUGCCAUCCAUGGGUGAAUCUAGGAUUCUGCAAAAGGGGUGCAGCUCGUCUGGCAUAUCAUCACAUGUAACACAAGGCAUAUUAUUCUCCAGUUAAAUAGGAACUAGAAGCUUUACUAGUACGUUAAGCAGCUAGCACUGCAUUUGUCAGUCUAAGAUCAAAGCAAAAACAAAUAUAACUAUUUGAAUGUGCACUCAUUUGCUAAAGUAUGCAUAGUUUUUAAAAAACAACAGCAAACUUGGCAAAAAAUAUUUGAAAUAGUCAAAAGAUAUUGUGUCAUUAGUCCUGUGCUUAUUAUACUUAAAUGUCUCUUAUUCCAAUUCAUAAAACAAAAUCUCGCCUUCUUGAGAGUCUUGACAGUGCCUCUAAUACUUCACUGUCAGUCAUUUCUAAACCCAAGCUAAUAUUCAUAUAAAAAGAUUAAGGUUGGAAGGGACCUCAGGAUGUCUAGUCCAACCUCCUGCUCAAAGCAGGACCAUCCCCAGCUAUCUCAUCCCAGCCAAGGCUUUAUCUAGCUGGUGCCAUCUUGCCAUCUGUAGGCAUUUUUACACAUGCUCAAGGUGGGAGGAGCACUUUAAUUAGAGCAGCUCUGAGAGCCACUCUAAUUAAAGCUCCUGCAGCAUCUCAUGUAUCAGUGUUUCUGUGCUUCAGAAUGGAGGCACGGGCAUUUUAACUAAAGCUUAUUGAAUGAUCUCACUGUCAUUUUUAAGCAUGGGGACAGUGAUACAUGAGAUGUGGAGGCUGGCUGGAGCGUGUUAAUUAACGUACUCCAACAUACUGUAAUUACACUGCAUCAGAGCAGCUGCCCCGCAUGUCUACAGGCAGCCUAAGAUAGUAAAUAUAUAUUUCUUAGAAAAUGGAGUAUGACGGCCAAGCCAUUUCACAGAGUCUGCUAAAGUCAUUAUUGCCAGGAUCAAUAUUCAAAGCAGUAAGCUAGAUAUCUCUUUAUAUGUUUAUGUGCCUCUUCAGCCUUCUGUUUACAAUAUUUAUAUAUUCUAAACUUCCUAAAAGAGGUACCUGUGGUAUUUACCACCCUCAUAGGGAGCCUUUUUAAAGCCAUACAUUUGUAAAUGAUUUUGAGCCCUUCAGAUAUUUGGCAUUCUAGAACUGAUAUUGCCAUUACUAUUUUAUCCCAGGGUCUGUUAAUUAUUAAGGGUAUGAAGUAUGUAAUAAACCUGCUUUAACACUGUCACCUUUCCUAUUACAUCACAAAAAUAACUAAGUUGGCUCAGUGCCUUUUGAAAAGUGACUGUUGAGGUAUUCAUUAACAUCAGUUCCAAUCCUCUGCAGAGUAAAGACAUUUUUCACUGAUCAGCAAAACAGUUGGAACAUGGAAAUGUCAUAUUUUUCCUAGUAUUAAACAGUUGUUAAACUGGAAAUGUAACUCUUGCCAAGUAGUUAUUUAAUAUCCAUGUUUUCUUGAAACAUAGAAAAUGAACAUGCAUUUUUGCUGCAUUAGGUAUUUGAGAGAUAGUCCUUUUUUGGCAGUUUAAACAAUUAAACUAAAAUUUACAAACAUCUUGUAACAUCAGAAAAAAAUAAUGAAUUUCAAAUGCUGAAUAUAAGAUUUAAUAAAAGGCACAUUUUAAAGUGAUAUUGUUUUGGCAAUGAAUACUUGAAACUGUUAAUAACCAUAAUGUAAUAAUACUUGGAUCUCAUAGCAAAUAGUAGUUUACAUUUUAAAACACUUCACAGAUAAUCAUCACAACAUGCUUGCAAGGUAGUUAAGAAAUGUAUUUUUCCAUGUUACAGGUAGGGAGAUUAAUUCACAAAGGAAUUUCACUAGUGGGCGUGUCUACACAUUCAAUUAAUGCAACUGAAUAAACUCUGGUGCAAUUUGAGCCAGAGUAAAGUGAUCCAGAUGUCAUCGUCUACAUGUGUUUAAGUGCAGUAAUUUACUCCACUGUCAGAUAGUACUUGUGUCUGAUGGGACUAUCUGAUGGUGCAGUAAAUUAGUCUACACCAGCCUAAUUGCCACACACAUGUAGAAGGUGAUGCUUUACUGCAUGGCAAAUUACUCUACUGUGCAGUAAAGCACAUGUAGGCAUGCCCAAUCAUAAAUUUGCAUCAGAAUAUGUAGUAUUAGGUCAUCAGUGUACCUAAACACUUCAUAUAGGAGCCAGUCUGUGGCAUUAUGGUCAUAAGUUGUAAUAACUGGACCUUACAUACAUGGCUAGGGUCGGUCAAAAAAUUAGCAGUUUUGAAACUUUUAUGCAAAAGUGAACAAUGUGAUAAGGUUUCCUCAUUUCAAAGCACUUCUGUAUACGAAGUUAGUAAUGGAGAAAUAAUGCACAUACACAGUCUUAAUUUAGAGGCAGGGCCUACAAAAUAUUCUGGAUCCAAACUCCCCCCAGACUUACCCAAGUUCACAUCUGAGUUUUCAGUUGAAACUGCUAUAAUCAACAGAAGCAACCUCAAAGGUUGGAAGUACCCAUGAUAUUUGUAGAGCUUGGAGGUGUUUGACUCUGGAGUUUAAACCUGGUCCUUCACCACUGUGAAAUGAUUAUAUCCUUUUGAAUGCCAGGUUGUCUGGUCCACUGCACUGCUUUCCUUAGAUCUUGAGAGACCUGAAAAGGCUUCCACCUUGAAAAGGUUAUAUUGCCUGUAUUCUUCACCAUAUAAGACAAAUACCAAACAAUACUCUUUCUCUAAAGGAAAUCAUACAGUGUGUAGCUUUCCCCCAAUUGCGUUAUGUAAUAGCAUUUUAUUUUUAGGUAAAGGUACAGUUUGUGUUUAAAAUUGAAAGCAUUUCACAUAGUGAGUACGCAUGUGUGUGUGUACAUUUACCCACACCCACACAGGCAUCACUGAAGUGCAGUCACUGGUGAGUGAAAGGAUAAUAGUCGACUAGAUAACCACUGUACAGCUGUGGGAGGUAGUAUUGUGACCAGUACAAAUCCUGUGCUCUUAGGAAAAGCACUAAGGGAACACUGAUGACCACACAAACAAAACAAGGUCUGUGUCCUCAGCUGAUAGACACAUGCACAGUAAGCCUCAGGGAGGACAAUUUUUCUUUGAAAGACUGAAGUGAUUAAUUGGCCUUGCCAAAAUUUACACCUGCCAUUUUAGGGAAUUUAGGUAUUUAAAACCCAAAGGCAUAGCGACUGCUAAGUGGUAAUGCUUUCUAUCUCAGUGUUUUCCAAACGCUUUUAUUUGCUGUUGAUUUUCAUGCAUCUUCUGCCACCAGCUUACACAAUUUAUGCUAAUAAGACAUUGACAUAUUUAUGCUGCUUUCAUUUAUGACGUACCUGGCAUACUUUAAUAUCCUAAAGACUAGUAAAAGGAAAUUCAGUAACAUUACAACAUUAGCUCUUUAUAUAUUUGGGUAUUUGCUACAAAUAUGUGACAUCUGUCAUCAUCCUAUUUUCCCUUGUUUGCUUAUUUUAGAAUUAUGGAGAAUCACACCAUUAAAAGCUUUGUGUAAUAAAUAUGCACAGUAUGCAACACAGUAACCUCUUUGUAAUAUCUGGUUGCAGUCCCCUACAGUGAAGUUUCUUGAAGCUGAUAAAAUAACAGUGGAUUUUAUAGAUUAAGACAUUAUUUUGUAAUUUGGUUAUAAAUCUGCAUUCUGUCUCCUUUCCGGUGUUCUUUAAAAAGUACGUUAGUUCAUUGAAGGGUGAAGAAGUUGAUGCCUGUGCCAUCCCUGCAGUACUGUGUUACAGAUCGCCUAUUAAUUAUUCAAGUGGAUCUAGAAAAAAAUAUACCUUUUUGGCAUUGUACUCUGCCUCUGUCUUUCUCUUUUAAAGUGGGGCUGCCACAGAGGCUGAGGUAUCAUGGCCAUGAUACUGGGUCAGAGCACAAUUGCUGUGCGUGAUUCUCCGUGAGGUGUGCAUUUAUUGUUAGAGAACUCUCUUGCUGUGUGCUCUUUCUUGUCUCUACCUGCAGUGGAAUAAAAUUGAUAUGUAGUUUCUCCUGUUCCGUUGUUUUUUUUGGGUCUCAAUUUUGAUUCUGUUGGAAGUUGAAGACCCUUUUGGUUACCCACAGCAAAACCUAAUCCAGACUAUUACCUAUAGGGUGAGACCAGGCAUUAUACUGAAAUGCAACUUUGGAUUUCUCUGUGUGUAAUUGUUUAUGUGAUUGUCCAUUGCUUUCUUUAGUUUAUUUUCUAAUAAAGAUGACCAUGAAAGAUACUAAAGAUGAUUAAAUUAGAAUAGUUUUUAAAAGUUUGCUGUUUUAUUGAGGCACUGAGUAUACUAGAAUUCUGACUGAUAUCACGGUUAUUUCUAGCACUCUAAGCUUUACUGAAUGAGGGGUGUUGUGUUUUGUCAGGCCAGGUGGUGGAGGGAGCUAACAGCUACCUCAAAUUCUACCAUAGGUGUGAGAUUGGGAAUAAAUUAUACUACAGUGGCAGUUAUCCUAGUCCUGUUAACCAAAGUGUAUGUAGUACAGUGGGGCAUGUUUAGUUUGGCCAUUGAUUCAGAGCUGUGUUACUAUCCUUUGGGGGACAGCAUAUUUAUUUUAGCGAGCCAUAUAAUUUCCCUGCAGCUUUGACAAAUUCUUGAUUCACAUUUAUCCAUGCAGCACUUGUGAAAGUAAAUUACAGAAACUCAGCUGUUGCCUGGGGAAAGAUUAUCAAGGUGCAGUUUGAAACAAACUUGCCAAGCCCACAUCAGCUUUCCAAGUUUUAAUGAUGCCUUUUUGAUAGCGGCAGAAUCCGUUGGCUAGCAGGCAUGUCAGAGCUGGAAAUGCUAGUAUUCACUAAAAAUGAAUGUUAUAUUCUCCUUCCCCUUCUGCAUUUUGUCACAGACGUGUCUUCAAAGGUUGUAGCAUGAUUAAGAGUGUUUUAAACCUCACACUGGAAUUAGUUAAGCAAAGUGUUGCCUGUUAUAUAGCAAAUACUAUUUCAAAUUUAAAAUUGCUAAUAUUCUUCUAUAGACCCUUUUUGUCUUCUAGGUUAUCAGCUUGCAAUCCAGCUAUCUGAGAAUACUGUUGACCAUCAUCUGAUCAGAGUCUGACUGUCCUUUGGGGUGAGGUAGUAGGUUGUAUAGUUUUAGGGUUAUACCCUGCCUGUCAGAUAACUAUACAAUCUACUGUCUUUCCUGAAGUGGCUGUGAUAUCAACGCUGGAUAUGGUUUUAAAAGAUGUAACAGAAGUCUUCUAAUUUGGAUGGUCUUUGGCUAUAUCCACUCAUUAGAUAUAGCCACUUGCAACUGAGCUCUAAUGGAAUAACAAACCCUGUGUUGUUCAUUUAGCUUUCAUAGAAUGCUACAAUUUUUGUCAUCCAGAUAAAGAAACAGUUGAAUUUCCACCAUCUGCAGUGAAUCAUGGUGACCAAUGUGUACUACAUGCUCUCCGGUGAGGAUGACGUUAGCUCUCACUGUGCUUCCCUCCUCCCCUUGCAUGUGUGUCAGGGAAAGAACCAAAAGAAUAAGACAAAUUACCCAGUUCUCCACAACCCUGCGCCUUGUGCAGUCAGGUAAUAUUCAACAGAAGUGGAUAUCAAAUGCUACUUUUGCACAGCUGUAAAUCGCUGUUUAAAGUACAGGGAAAUGGUGAACUGUACAGAAGGCCAAGAGCCGGCCAUUUGGAAGUUAGUUUCCAUGCCAAGAGAAAUGACACUAGGCUGAAGAGGUUUGUUGUUGGGUUUCUGAUUGCUGAUUUAUCUCAUUUUUUUGCAUUACGUAUACAUGAACAGGCCAUCCUGACUGCUACUCCUCUUUCUACUGGAUUAUUCCACCCACUUACACUGUGACUCCCUGGACAGCUCUGAGGCAGGGCUGAAAUCACAAAGUUCACAAAGAUGCUGUUCUUUCUUUAGUUAGCAAAGAACAAAUCGGCUCUGAAAGCACAGGGGAAUUCUACUGGUGAAUUGUGGAAGCAAAGGCCACUGAAUUGCUAACCUUCGAAGGAAUUUCCUGGUGCUCUGGCAGGAUGAGGUAGUAGGUUGUGUGGUUUCAGGGUAGUGAUUUUGCCCCAAUCAGGAGAUAACUAUACAACCUACUGCCUUCCCUGAUGAGCAGUAUUGCAGCAUCUCAGAAACUCUUAAUCCUUUCUAUUGUAAGUGAAACCAGGAUUUAAAUCUACCUCCAUGACCAGAAAAGUGAGCCUGUGUAAAACUGGAGUGAUCUUGUCAAAAGCAGCUUUUGAUCUUAACUAUAGGAGAAGGAAGCACUUGCAGAUUAACUGUGUUUGUUUCUAAGUGUAUGUUUUAAAUUCCUUUUAUCAAAAGAAAUAAAAUAAAGACAAGUUUUGUUUGUUUCCAGA